Molecule: unclassified non-coding RNA, 285 nt
Filed under: plant metagenome
Description: partial contains small subunit ribosomal RNA, internal transcribed spacer 1, and 5.8S ribosomal RNA
Rfam family: Eukaryotic small subunit ribosomal RNA (bases 1-54)
Source: RNAcentral
GGAAGUAAAAGUCGUAACAGGGUUUCCGUAGGUGGACCUGCGGAAGGAUCAUUAUUGUAUAACCGAGGUGCGAGGGCUGUCGCUGACCCGAAAGGUCGUGCACGCCCGUGUGCCCUCACACACAUCCAUCUCACCCCUAUGUGCACCACCGCGUGGGUCCCCCUUUGGCUUGUUCGGAGGGGGGCUUACGUUUUCACACAAACUUUGUAUGCAGUGUAGAAUGUAUUUUUUGUUUUUGCGAUCACGCAAUCAAUACAACUUUCAACAACGGAUCUCUUGGCUCUC